RNAcentral lists this transfer RNA (631 nucleotides) under uncultured Prochlorococcus sp. RNAcentral describes it as "partial 16S-23S ribosomal RNA intergenic spacer". The stretch from base 251 to 323 matches the Rfam family "tRNA". Lineage: Bacteria; Bacillati; Cyanobacteriota; Cyanophyceae; Synechococcales; Prochlorococcaceae. The record is from RNAcentral.
CAGGGAGACAAUAAAUCGAUUGUGAUGUCUAAGUUAUUUAUUCUUAGGCCACAAUCCUGUCACCUUAAGGUCGAUCGGUACCUCAGAUUUUUGAAUUAGUUUUAUAAUUGAUUCUUUGAUUUCAGUUCCUAAACUUGUCUAGGUCACACCCAACAAAGGUUUCUCCUGGGCCAUUAGCUCAGGUGGUUAGAGCGCACCCCUGAUAAGGGUGAGGUCCCUGGUUCAAGUCCAGGAUGGCCCAUUCGUUGUUGGGGGUAUAGCUCAGUUGGUAGAGCGCCUGCUUUGCAAGCAGGAUGUCAGCGGUUCGAGUCCGCUUACCUCCACUGAAAACUAUCCUGAUAACUAAAUUCUGGAGAAAAAAUUGUAGAUUUGGCUUAGAUUUGUCUAUUUGAAGAGAACCUAGCUUCUUGUCAUCUUUUUAUAGUUGAUAAAAUGCUGGGCUCGCAUGGAUUAUUUCCAUGAGAAUUCAGUAGAACCUUGAAAACUGCAUAGAUUAGAAAGAAUAAAGCAUCUCAUGGAUGCAUAAUUCUGUUUUUAUAAUUUAGCCUUAAAACUAAAUUAUUUAAUUCUAGAAUUCAUGUUUAAUUCUUGAGUAAAAGCCGAGCACAAAUUAUUUUGUGAUUGUAUUUAA